RNAcentral lists this ribosomal RNA (460 nucleotides) under uncultured bacterium. RNAcentral's name for it is "partial 16S ribosomal RNA". It matches the Rfam family "Bacterial small subunit ribosomal RNA", at positions 338 to 795 of the family's 1533-position model. The record is from RNAcentral.
CCUACGGGUGGCAGCAGUGAGGAAUAUUGGUCAAUGGACGAGAGUCUGAACCAGCAAAGUAGCGUGAAGGAUGACUGUUCUAUGGUUUGUAAACCUCUUUUAUAAAGGAAUAAAACGAGGCACGUGUGCCUUAUUGCACGUACUUUAUGAUUAAGGAUCGGCUAACUCUGCGCCAGCAGCCGCGGUAAUACGGAGGAUCGUAGCGUUAUCAGGAUUUAUUGGGUUUAAAGGGAGCGUAGAUGGGUUGUUAAGUUAGUUGUGAAAGUUUGCGGCUCAACCGUAAAAUUGCAAUUGAUACUGGCAGUCUUGAGUACAGUUGAGGUAAGCGGAAUUCGUGGUGUAGCGGUGAAAUGCUUAGAUAUCAAGAAGAAUCCCGAUUGCGAAGGCAGCUUACUAAACUGUGACUGACAUUGAUGCUCGAAAGUGUGGGUAUCAAACAGGAUUAGAUACCCUUGUAGUC